Molecule: microRNA precursor, 98 nt
Filed under: Scyliorhinus torazame (cloudy catshark)
Lineage: Eukaryota; Metazoa; Chordata; Chondrichthyes; Carcharhiniformes; Scyliorhinidae
Description: Sto-Let-7-P2b3_pre stem-loop
Rfam family: let-7 microRNA precursor family
About the family: This family represents the microRNAs (miRNA) let-7 and mir-98. let-7 was identified from a study of developmental timing in C. elegans, and was later shown to be part of a much larger class of non-coding RNAs termed miRNAs. The extents of the hairpin precursors are not generally known and are estimated based on hairpin prediction.
Source: RNAcentral
UGAGGUAGUAGGUUGUAUAGUUGUAGGGCAGUGAUUUCCCUCUUAGUUAUUUUUCUACGUUGCCUGCUUGGAGAUAACGAUACAACCUACUGCCUUCC